Molecule: long non-coding RNA, 538 nt
Filed under: Fukomys damarensis (Damara mole-rat)
Lineage: Eukaryota; Metazoa; Chordata; Mammalia; Rodentia; Bathyergidae
Description: lncRNA (ENSFDAG00000031519.1)
Source: RNAcentral
CCCGCCCAGGCCUAGAGAGGAGAAUGGCACCGCCCAGUCCCGGCAGCCCCACCCACACGAACUGAAGGCGUGGGGCCCCUGGAGCCGAGGCGCUAGCCCCGGGUCGCUGCGGGGGCUCGUUUGGCCUCUCGCGGCCUCCGUAUUCGCCGAAAGCCGAGACCGUUGGAAAGAUCAGAGAUUUAUGCCGUUGGGAGAAAGUUCCGGGGGUCCCACGGAGCGAUUGACGUUGCAAAUUUGAAGUAGAUGGGAAAGAAGAGGGCAGAAGAGACAAGCAAGAGGAAGAAAUCAUGAGCUUGGAGUCUAACAGAACUGACUGAUGGCCAGGUUGUCAGCAACAUGCAAUAGAAGCAGCUGUGUCAGCAGAGGCAGACGCAGAUGCAGACAGAGAAGAGAUGCAGAAGAAGCAGCAACAAAAGAAGGAGCAAAAGAAGAGGAAGACACAGAAGUAGAACAAGAAGCAGAGGCAGAAGCAGCAGCAGAACAAGUGAAAAGCAACAGCAGAACAAGAAGCAGAAAAGGAAGCAGCAGCAGUCAGAAG